This 73-nucleotide transfer RNA is filed under the name Protopterus annectens (West African lungfish). Its description in RNAcentral is "tRNA-Asn". Lineage: Eukaryota; Metazoa; Chordata; Ceratodontiformes; Protopteridae. The record is from RNAcentral.
UAGGUGAAUGCCCGCAAGUUUAGGCGCUUAGCUGUUAACUAAGAGUUCAAGGGAUCGAGGCCCUUUCAUCUAG